Molecule: long non-coding RNA, 278 nt
Organism: Fundulus heteroclitus (mummichog)
Lineage: Eukaryota; Metazoa; Chordata; Actinopteri; Cyprinodontiformes; Fundulidae
Exons: 3
Source: RefSeq, a predicted model, not a curated record
UCUUGAUGAUUAUGAUGGUUGCACUUCUCGUGCCAACCGAAAGUAUGGAUCAGAGGUUAAGGGAGAAAAGGGCUCCAGGCAUAAUGGAUAAGAUCAAGGAACAUUGGGGAAAACUGAAGAACAAAUUAAGUUCAGGAUCUUCUGCAUCUGCUGCAUCUUCUGAGUCUUCUGAUGCUUCUGCCUCUUCAGAAGGGUCCAGAUGAUGGAGAAAAAUCUGCACGAAGUGUCUAAACUACAGAGAGGAUGACAUUUACCAAGACAUUUGCAUUAAUGUUGUG